RNAcentral lists this long non-coding RNA (1575 nucleotides) under Linum usitatissimum (flax). RNAcentral's name for it is "long non-coding RNA (LUSI_LNC002379)". Lineage: Eukaryota; Viridiplantae; Streptophyta; Magnoliopsida; Malpighiales; Linaceae. The record is from RNAcentral.
CCCAAGUGAACAGUCGGCCCAUCCUAAUAAUUUUCCUCUUGUCAAAGGGAAAUCUCUCUAUUGGAGAAAAGAAGGAGGUGACCACCUCUUCCUUUUAUAAAAAUACUUUUUUCUUCACAAUAAAGGGGGGCACCCGUCCCUUUUGACAACACCAAAAUAAUCAACUUUCUCUAAAAAUCUCAAAAUAGCAAAACACCAAACAUUUCCACCAAAAUCUUUAGAAACAAACAUUCUCAAUCCCAUUAAACCCCAAGAAAUUAGAAUAACUUAAAGAACAAAAUGUGUCCAUUAGGAAAAGUGCUUCUAGUCGAAAUUUUAGGAUCCGUCGAAACUUUAGGUUCUGUCGAAGCUUCUGAAACCCACCGGAUUCCCAAACUCUUGGAGCAAGCGGCCAAAGGGUCUCGCCAACACUGCCAAAGAUGAGCGAAAAUCAGUUUUCAAAGGUCGUUAUUUCCAAACGAACAUCUUUCAAAUUCUCCAUCAUUCACAUAUCAUUCAUAUUCUGUUUCAAUACAUAUCAAUGUGCUUGCUAGGUUUGUAUGUUAUAUUAUCUAUUUUAUUACCAUUUAAGCAAUUUUCAAUCUAAUGACCUCCACAACAAAUGACAAAACAAAACAAACAAUGACUUAGCUAGCAAAAUGGAGCUUCUUUACUUAAUAAGAGCUGUUGGAAAUUGAGUUAAUAAAGGAUUAAGAUGAUUAUUUUCGCUGUAGAUGUCACAAAAAAAUUAAAAAGAUUAUAAAAAAUUUAAAAUACAGUACCAAUGUCCAGCAAUAUAAAAGUUCUUUUGGUUAAAAUAUAUUGUUGGAAUUUUGUUAAAAAGGGCAAAAUGAUUAAAAACUUUUCAAACAAGUAGCUUUUAUUGUAAAAACCAACUAGGUUUGAUUUUGUUUUUGAAAAGAAUCAGAUAUUUCAUCCUUUUUCACAAGUUAGCAAUUGAAAGAGUGAUGAUAACCUUUCGUUUUUUAUAUAUGCUUUUUGAUAGCAUAAAGUCAAAAUAAAUUAAAUUUAAAGUUAUCUUUGAAUAAGUUCGAUUUUCUCGUAAGAGAUUAACUGCGAUACGUAGAAAAAAAUAAGCUAACAUAAUUUAUUCAUAGUAUACAUAUAAACAACCUGAUUAGGAAGGAAAAGUAAUUUUUUUACCUUGCGGUUUCUUUGACGGCAGUGGCGGUUUUUAAUCCGGCAGCGGUAGCGCCCCUUUUUCUCCUCGCCUCAGCAAAAAAAUGAAAGAAAAUUAAAGAUUACGAAGGAGGGAGUGUAAAAGAAAGAUAAUGUUCUAGAUCUGUAGAUCGUGGCUUGCAUGUGGCCAGAGAGCUCGCUGGAGUCGUCCUCGAAUGAUAUGCGAACCCGUACUGCGCUAAAAACAAGAGAAAAGAGGAGUAGGAGUGGAAACGAACGAUUACCUCCAAUUUUGCUGUUGUUGGUGAGGGAGACAAAGAAGGAGUUGACGACGCUGUCUCCGCUGUUGAGACGAGGCAAUGAGGGAGGAAAGAAAGGAAAAGGCGCCGCCGCCUCUACAGUUGAAACGAGGAGCCCUUUUUCUCCCUGGCAUUUUCAUCAUUUUUCGUAUCAUUG